GCGGGAAUAGCUCAGUUGGUAGAGCACGACCUUGCCAAGGUCGGGGUCGCGAGUUCGAGUCUCGUUUCCCGUG
RNAcentral lists this transfer RNA (73 nucleotides) under Escherichia coli. RNAcentral's name for it is "tRNA-Gly". It matches the Rfam family "tRNA". From Rfam's summary of the family: Transfer RNA (tRNA) molecules are approximately 80 nucleotides in length. Their secondary structure includes four short double-helical elements and three loops (D, anti-codon, and T loops). The record is from RNAcentral. Lineage: Bacteria; Pseudomonadati; Pseudomonadota; Gammaproteobacteria; Enterobacterales; Enterobacteriaceae.